AACACCUCAAAUCCCACUUUCUCCCGUCAAAAGGAAAAAAUGGGAAUUGGACUUGAGCGAACCCAACACAACAUCUUCGGAUCGAGUGGCGGGUCGCUUGAAAUGCAGGUGCAGCUGGACAAUCUUCUGAGCUAAAAGCAUAACUUAUUUAGUCCCGUCAAACGGAUUAUUACUUUUGCUGCAGCUAACAUAAAGGAAGAUUGAUCCUAUAGCUGACUGAUGCAGGAAUUUACAGUGGUAUCUAGCGCAAGCGAAGUACCUCUGUUAA
This 268-nucleotide unclassified non-coding RNA is filed under the name uncultured Mortierella. Its description in RNAcentral is "partial internal transcribed spacer 2". The record is from RNAcentral. Lineage: Eukaryota; Fungi; Mortierellomycota; Mortierellomycetes; Mortierellales; Mortierellaceae.